Molecule: ribosomal RNA, 253 nt
Filed under: uncultured bacterium
Lineage: Bacteria
Description: partial 16S ribosomal RNA
Rfam family: Bacterial small subunit ribosomal RNA
Source: RNAcentral
UACGUAGGGUGCGAGCGUUAAUCGGAAUUACUGGGCGUAAAGCGUGCGCAGGCGGUUCUAUAAGACAGAUGUGAAAUCCCCGGGCUCAACCUGGGAACUGCAUUUGUGACUGUAGAGCUGGAGUACGGUAGAGGGGGAUGGAAUUCCGCGUGUAGCAGUGAAAUGCGUAGAUAUGCGGAGGAACACCGAUGGCGAAGGCAAUCCCCUGGACCUGUACUGACGCUCAUGCACGAAAGCGUGGGGAGCAAACAGG